GAUGAACGCUAGCUACAGGCUUAACACAUGCAAGUCGAGGGGUAACAAGAGGAAAGCUUGCUUUCCUUGUUGACGACCGGCGCACGGGUGAGUAACGCGUAUCCAACCUGCCUAUAACUAGGGAAUAACCUUGCGAAAGUAAGACUAAUGCCCUAUGACUUCCUUUGGCGGCAUCAAAAAAGGAAUAAAGAUUUAUCGGUUAUAGAUGGGGAUGCGUCUGAUUAGCUUGUUGGCGGGGUAACGGCCCACCAAGGCAAGGAUCAGUAGGGGUUCUGGGAGGAAGGUCCCCCACAUUGGAACUGAGACACGGUCCAAACUCCUACGGGAGGCAGCAGUGAGGAAUAUUGGUCAAUGGGCGGAAGCCUGAACCAGCCAAGUAGCGUGCAGGAUGACGGCCCUAUGGGUUGUAAACUGCUUUUAUACAGGAAUAAAGUUAGCCACGUGUGGUUAUUUGUAGGUACUGUAUGAAUAAGGACCGGCUAAUUCCGUGCCAGCAGCCGCGGUAA
Molecule: ribosomal RNA, 506 nt
Filed under: uncultured bacterium
Lineage: Bacteria
Description: partial 16S ribosomal RNA
Rfam family: Bacterial small subunit ribosomal RNA
Source: RNAcentral